Molecule: ribosomal RNA, 207 nt
Filed under: Triticum aestivum (bread wheat)
Lineage: Eukaryota; Viridiplantae; Streptophyta; Magnoliopsida; Poales; Poaceae
Description: partial small subunit ribosomal RNA
Source: RNAcentral
AUGGAUGCCCACCGUCACCGCAGCUUGUUCGUCGUCGUCGUCGUGGCUGUCGCUGCGAUAAUCUUCACCAUGGGCUUCGUGCGGUGUGCCGAUGCCGCACGACCCGUGCCACCGAGCCCGGCGUCGUCCUCAACGGCGUCCGCGCUGGUGUCGUCGUUGAUGGAGAUGCUACCCAUGGGGCCGAGCGGAGGAGGCGCGGGGCACUGA